Molecule: ribosomal RNA, 482 nt
Filed under: uncultured bacterium
Lineage: Bacteria
Description: partial 16S ribosomal RNA
Rfam family: Bacterial small subunit ribosomal RNA
Source: RNAcentral
AUUGAACGCUGGCGGCAUGCCUUACACAUGCAAGUCGAACGGUAACGGGCCUUCGGGUGCCGACGAGUGGCGAACGGGUGAGUAAUACAUCGGAACGUGCCCGAUCGUGGGGGAUAACGAGGCGAAAGCUUUACUAAUACCGCAUACGAUCUACGGAUGAAAGCAGGGGACCGCAAGGCCUUGCGCGGACGGAGCGGCCGAUGGCGGAUUAGGUAGUUGGUGGGAUAAAAGCUUACCAAGCCGACGAUCUGUAGCUGGUCUGAGAGGAUGAUCAGCCACACUGGGACUGAGACACGGCCCAGACUCCUACGGGAGGCAGCAGUGGGGAAUUUUGGACAAUGGGCGCAAGCCUGAUCCAGCCAUGCCGCGUGCAGGAUGAAGGCCUUCGGGUUGUAAACUGCUUUUGUACGGAACGAAAAGCCUUCUUUUAAUACAGGAGGGUCAUGACGGUACCGUAAGAAUAAGCACCGGCUAACUACGUG